GAUGAAGAACGUAGCGAACUGCGAUAAGUAAUGUGAAUUGCAGAAUUCAGUGAAUCAUCGAGUCUUUGAACGCACAUUGCGCCCCCUGGCAUUCCGGGGGGCAUGCCUGUCCGAGCGUCAUUGCUGCCCUUCAAGCCCGGCUUGUGUGUUGGGUCGUCGUCCCCCCCGGGGGACGGGCCCGAAAGGCAGCGGCGGCACCGCGUCCGGUCCUCGAGCGUAUGGGGCUUUGUCACCCGCUCGAUUAGGGCCGGCCGGGCGCCAGCCGGCGUCUCCAACCUUCUAUUUUCCCAGGUUGACCUCGGAUCAGGUAGGGAUACCCGCUGAACUUAAGCAUAUCAAUAAGCGGAGA
RNAcentral lists this unclassified non-coding RNA (349 nucleotides) under soil metagenome. RNAcentral's name for it is "partial contains 5.8S ribosomal RNA, internal transcribed spacer 2, and large subunit ribosomal RNA". The stretch from base 1 to 120 matches the Rfam family "5.8S ribosomal RNA", at positions 35 to 154 of the family's 154-position model. The record is from RNAcentral.